GGAAUAUUGGGCAAUGGGCGCAAGCCUGACCCAGCGACGCCGCGUGAGGGAUGAAGGCCUUCGGGUUGUAAACCUCUUUCAGUAGGGAAGAAGCGAAAGUGACGGUACCUAAAGAAGAAGCACCGGCUAACUAUGUGCCAGCAGCCGCGGUAAUACAUAGGGUGCAAGCGUUGUCCGGAAUUAUUGGGCGUAAAGAGCUCGUAGGUCGUUUGCCGCGUCGAUUGUGAAAAUCUGAGGCUCAACCUCAGACCUGCAGUCGAUACGGGCAAACUAGAGUGUGGUAGGGGAGACUGGAAUUCCUGGUGUAGCGGUGGAAUGCGCAGAUAUCAGGAGGAACACCAAUGGCGAAGGCAGGUCUCUGGGCCAUAACUGACACUGAGGAGCGAAAGCGCAGGGAGCGAACAGGAUUAGAUACCCUGGUAGUCCGCGCCGUAAACGAUGGGCACUAGCUGUGAGAGCCUUCCACGGUUCUCGCGACGCAGCAAACGCAUUAAGUGCCCCGCCUGGGGAGUACGAUCGCAAGAUUAAAACUCAAAUGAAUUGACGGA
RNAcentral lists this ribosomal RNA (548 nucleotides) under uncultured bacterium. RNAcentral's name for it is "bacterial SSU rRNA". It matches the Rfam family "Bacterial small subunit ribosomal RNA", at positions 358 to 917 of the family's 1533-position model. The record is from RNAcentral.